ACAAUGAUGGUGUUGAUAGUACUACGAAUGUUGGUGAUGGAAGUGAUGAUACUUGUACUGCAAUCACCAUCCCAAGGUCGGCAAAUAUGACUCUGCUUCAAUUGCCCAACCUAACAAUAUUGGUCAUCAGUAAAUGUGAAGUUUUGGAAUAUAUUUUCACAAGUUCCACACUUGAAAGCCUCGAGCAAAUCAAAGAACUGAUUGUAAAACAAUGCAAGGCAAUGAAAGUGAUUGUGAAGGAUGACACAGAGCACACAGAAACAUCUAAAUCUAUAAUAGUCUUCCCACGUCUCAAGUCCCUUACACUUGUAGAUUUACCAGAUCUCAAGGGUUUCUUCUUGGGGAAGAAUGAGUUCAGGUGGCCAGUAUUGGAAAAGGUUAAGAUUUAUGGCUGCCCACAAAUGAUGAAUUUCACAUCUGGUCACUCCAUGACUCCGAAGCUCAACUACAUACAUACAGCCUACGGCAAGCAUAGUCUUGAAUGUGGCCUCAACUUACAUUUGACCAAUGCUACACAUGAGGAUGAGGUAUGUUAUCACUUUAUUUCAUCAUUUAACCAGGUGAUCAGCAUGUCGUUUUAUGAUGUUCAACAUAUUAUUUGCUUACAAAAAUUAGGUGGCAGGUUCAUAUUUUUAUUCCAGAAGGAAACAUAAAACAAAAAACCAAAUGAAGAUCCAUAUAUAACCACUUCCCUUUUUUAUAUCCAUAAAAAGUUUUGAAAAUAUGCAAUCUUAUUUUUUAUUAUAAAUUAAUAUUUCAUUCCUAAGAUAUUAAGUUAUCCCUUAUGUUAUGAAAGAUGUUAUAUUCACUAAUUCAUAAGUUAGCAAUUUAAUAUUUUAAUCAAGUUAGAUGAACUAAAGACAAAAGGCCCAAUUGACGCAUUCAUUGUGGGUGGUUUUUUCCAUGUCCAAAGAUUUUUGAACAUAUACAAUACUAGGUUCCGUUUGAUUAAUAUUAAAGAAAAUCUAAAAAAAGAAAUUAAAACAAUAAAUCAGUCUUUUCAAUUUUGAUACAAACCUAGUGAGAAGGACCAACUUUGUAAUUUUGGAACCACAGGGACCGUAACCGCAAAAAUCGACAAACGCAUGGACCAAAUUUGCAGUUUUUGCUAAAAAAAACAAACAAAUCUAACUAGUGGCUUGGAGGUUUGGAGUCUGGGCAAGUAUUCGACUAAAGGCAUAACAAAAUAAGCACCUAAGAAAAAGGGCUUCUAAAAUUCACAUAAUAGUUUCUUUCCUUGAAAACAGAAGAUUUAAGAAUUUAUAUCAAAUAUAUGAAUAUAAAAAAUUAUUUUCUUGUGUAUUACAAAUGAUACUUGGCAAGUUCAUUCUUAUUCAAAUCAUUUGAAAGUUUAUAAAUCAUUAAUUAGGAACUUAGAACCAACAACUUCAUUCGGUUAAGAAAAAAACACAAAAUAGAUGGAAAUAAAAGCAUUAGCUUAUUUUACAUAUUUUCACUCAUAUCUAUUAACAAAUAGAUUUUUGUAUGGAGCUAUAUUUUGUAAUUGAAUCAUUUAUAUCGUUUUCAUCCAGUUUAAUCCAAUUAUCUAACAUAUUUUAUAAUAAUGUGAUGUUAGUAGUUAAUCAAGUUGUUCUUUUCUCUCUCAUCUUCUACAAGCUUGAUAUUUAUGUAGCGUUUAUUACCUAAAUUUGACAAAAAUAGUAUUGCUGAGAUGAUUGUAAAAGUAUAAGUAUAUCAUCCAUAUAUCAUUUGUUGUAUUUGACAAUGCAAUAAAAAUACAAUAACAUAGUUAUCUUUUUUCCUAAAAAAGUUGGAUGUAAACAUUCAGUACAUGAAAAACUACCUAUUUGAAGUAGCCAAAACACUUGACUUUUACAGUUUUACUUUUUAUUUUAUCUGCCCACCCCACACACACACAAACACAAAUAUUUAAUUUUUUUACUUUUAUUUAAAAAGACUCAUCAUUGAUAAAAUCUAAAUUGUUUAAACAAAUCGACAUUCAUUAAUAAAAUCUAAAUUGUUUAAACAAAUGCAAUGUAUAAAUCAGAAUUUUUCUUCACAGUGCUCAUCUUCUCAGAAAAUAAUGUAAGCAGUGCCAUAAACUAGGUUGUUGAUUGGAAAUACAUGUUGCCUCGUUUAAAAAUAAUAGAACUUGCAAUCCUUUACUAUGUUUAUAUACUAAAUGUGUUUGUCCUUUAUAUAUAAUUGUAGUGUUUGAGAUGAUCUAUGUUUGAUUUUUCUUUGCAGACUCAACUCCCUAUGUGCUCUACUCCAGAUUUGAUAAAGCUAGUUCAAUUCCCGUGGUCUUUUUCAAAUUUAGUUGAAGUAGAUGCACAGUAUGGUGACAAAUUGUUGAAAAGCCGCAUAAUUUUUCCAUGCAAGGAGUUGCUUAAUCUGAAGAAUCUUGAAAAGCUUUCUAUUACCAAUGCCCUUGGAUCUGUAACACAGGAGGUAUUUGAAGUAGCAGAAGGGACAAAUGAAGAUGUGGAUAUUGAAACACAAUCUGUUGUGGUAUUUGAGAAGCUGAAAGAGGUGACUUUGGAUACAUUAAAUAAUCUGAAGCAUGUGUGGAGGAGCAAUCGGUGGAUAGUGUUGAACUUUCCAAACCUUACAAAGGUCUCAAUUGAAAGUUGUAAGCUUCUUGGGCACGUGUUCACUUGUUGCAUGGUUGGUAGUCUAUUGCAUCUCCAAGAGCUAAAAAUAAGUUACUGCCAGAGUAUGAAUGUGAUUGUGAAGCAAGUUGAAGAUUCCGAGACCAGACCGACUACUGAGGUUGUGUUCCCUUGUCUGAAAUCCAUAACACUUGAAUGGCUUCCAAAUCUCAAGGGAUUUUGCCUGGGGAAGGAGGCUUUUGAAUGGCCAUCAUUAGAUACUUUGGAAAUCAAAUAUUGUCCAAAAAUAACAGUUUUCACAAAGGGGCAAUCAACUACUCCGGAGCUGAAGUUAAUAGAUACAACUUUUGGAUUGUGUCAUGCAACGGAAGAUCCAAACUCUUUCAUAAAGACCAAACAAGAAGAGGUAUAUGGUGUCUCCUUUGGUUAUUAGUAACAGAUUAAUAUGUUUGAUCAAACAAAAACUUUACAUUACUCUCUAAUUUACCACUUUCUUGUAAUCUCCUACAGGGAUGGCAGUUCUAGAGGAACAUUUGAAUUCGCAUGUGCAGUUUUUCUCAUUUUGAAGUCAGCUAUAUAUAUACAAUAAUAGGUAAGAUUUAAUGCAUUUAAAAUUAAAAUUUUAGGCAUUUUUCUGUUUGAUUAUUGGUCAUGUGAAAUGGUUCUUUUCUCAGUAAUCUUUGGAUAUAUAAACAUACUGUUAAUUUCNUAUAUAUAUAUAUAUAUAUAUAUAUAGCAUAAUAGGUAAGAUUACAACAUUGUACCAUGGUUUAUGCCUUAGGAUUUCUUCUAGCACUCAUUUGUUUCCUGUGUCCAUCAUCAUUUAAGUGUUUCUCUACUUUAUUUGAUUGAACUGACUUAAUGACCAACUCUUCUGCUUCAAGGUUAUUGAAACCCUGUUCCUAAGUAAUCUCAUAAAUCCCUUUUGUUAAAAGAUUUAAUUCACAAGAAAUUGAUACUUUAGACUAAAGUCUUUAGUUAAUCUUAUAUUAAAUCUAUUCUUUGGAUUGAUCGGCGAGUGCAAAUCAAGAAUUCUAGACGAAAGACAUAUUCUUUUGUUCAAAGUUCGGCCUCUUUCAUGAGGGCAUUCUAUUUUGACUUUUUCACAGUAGUCAAACUUAAUGCUUUUAAAAUUCAAAUUAUAGGCAUUUUUCUGUUUGAUUAUUGGUCAUGUGAAAACUUUUUUUUUUUUUUUUUUUUUUUUUUUUUUUUUUUUAUAUAUAUUUCCAUGUGUAACCUUUUAUUUUUUUCAUGAUUUUGUUUUUCAGGCAUCUUCUGAUUUCAAACAGCCCCGCUGCCACCACAUGUCCCUGAGUACUCCCUGGAACUUGUGUCUUGUGGUGGCUGGCGGUUGUUUCUGGUGGUGGAUUUGGCCAGAGAAAUUUCCAUGUGUAACCUUUUUUUCCUUGUGUACAUACUUAAAGAAAAAUUACCUGUUUUCAAAAGAAAAACACAAACUGGGUUGCCUUCUUGAUGAAUUAUAUUUCGUCCUUCACUCACAACUUUACCCUGCAAAUAACAUAAACAUACUUUUCUUUACUAUAUUUUAGUCCCCUGUUUUAGGCUAAACUUAGCUUCAAUAUACUCUAUUUUAUACUUAACGCUAUGUUACCUGUUAGUUUUAAAAUAACAUUACAUUGUAGGCAUCACGAUGUGAAGUAAAACAAAAAGAUGAAAAGUUAGGAUGAAGUGAUAUUACUUGAGAUCAUCCUCUAGUAACAUCUGACUUUGUUUAUGUUUCAAAGAAUUAGUUUAUUUUAAAUUUUCAUCUUUUUACAAAACUUAACUUUACCCCAAUUAUAUACUUUAAUCCGUUGGAUUUCAAGGUUCUAUAUUUCAAGUUUAAGACAGGUUUACAAAAUCUUCUUUAAAGGCAGUGAAAAUCAUCAAUUUUCAUAACUUUCAUUUUUUUUUUAAUUACAAAACAAAACACAUUGUUAAAAAAUUCACUAAUAAUAUUAAAAAAACACAAAUAUGGCUACAAUAUUACAAAACAACUAAUUUAAAAAAAAAAAAAAAUACUUCUCUUGCUUUUUUAGAUACAAAAUCAUUAAAAAUACUAUCAAGAUCGAUUUAAUGUAAUAUAUUUUUCUCUCUACAUAAUAUUGUCAAACCAUUCAACAUUUUUUGCGACAUCGAUGACUUUAGUAACUCUUCAAUAACUUUGGUUUUGAAAAAAUUCAUUUUGCAAUGUAACAGUGACAUGAAUGGUUUAAUAAGAUGCUAUAUGCAAUAAAAAUAUUUCGAUAACAAUCAACAACUUUAACAAAGUCCAAAAUUUCAAUAGUGUACAUUAUAUUAUUUGGCAAAGUCAUUUGCAACACCUUUAAUUUUGAAAGUACAUAGCAAAUCCUAAUUUCUAGGUUUAAAAAUAUCUACAAAUGAUUUUUUGAUUUCUUCUGAAAAGUGUUCCUCAAGAAAAUCCAAUAUUUUCUUAUGAAAGUAGAGUAUUUACUGGUAGAGAAUAUGCCGUCAGUUUUAGAGAUACUAGUGUUAUCUUUAGAAAAUCCCAAGUUUUCCUGAAACAGGUUAUCCAUUCUAGAGGUAGAGAUGUAAGACUAGAGAUUCUUGAUUUCUGAUCAGUAUAAAUAUGAAAAUAGUUUUAUUAUUCAAAAUGAAACAUUUUCAAAGUAGAGUCUGUAAACUAAGUUAGCUUAUACUUAUUUGUGAGUCGUAUAACCAUACUUGAUACGACCUAGAGACCUUUAUAACGUUCUUAAGGCAUUAACGUUAAAUGACAUUUGUACACCCCAGACAUGCCUACCUAACUGUAGCUAGCAGUUCAGGUGCCGGAUUGUCAGUCCUGAAUAGAUCUAUCCACAAAUCUCACGCUCUCCCUCCAGGAGACUCUGGUUAUACUAGAAGGAUUUAUCCAUGUACACCUAAGGGUACAUUAAUGAAGUAGCGCCUCACAAUUCUAUAUAAUCCAGUUUACAAGCUAGAGACCAUAGAGAACAAGCUAGUGACCAUAGAAAACAGUAAUUAUCCUUAGAUAAUAUACUUUAUGCUUUUGAGAAAAUAUAUUACAUAACUAUAGUUGUCAUAGUUAUAAUACAUUUAUCCCUGAAAUCUGAUUCAGUAGAGACUGUCUAGAGAUUAUCCCAAACUAUACCCAUUAUAGUUUGUUAGAGUUGAUAUAGAAAACACUUGUUAAACCUUUCUGUGAUUAGUUAGAUUUCCAAAAUAAUAGUUUUCCCUUAUGCUCAACAUAGUACAAAAAGGGAUAAAAUCUGAGUAUGUUAUAAAAAAUUGGAAAUAAUUGGACUGGAUUAACAAGUUUAAAACUUGAUAAAAUACUUUAGAGUUAUGGCUUGUAUUCCCCCCUUGAAAACAUUAAAACACGGAAAAUAUAGGGGUAUAAACUCACCUGUAGUGAGUGACUUGAAUGAAAGAUCGAUAUAGGAUUGUAGAGUGUUAAGUGAAGUCUUUGGCACAAACGAAUCCUAUUAACCAUAUAAUGACACAUAUAUGUAUAUAAUUAGUGUAUAAACAAAUAAUCAUGAAAGGUAACACCCCUUGGGACUAGGAACACUUAUACUGAAGUGCUACAAUCACAUAUGAUUGCAUAAAAGGGGGUGUAUGACCACUAAAUGGGGUUUUCGGUCCAAGUGGUAUGAUUCUAAUAGUUUUCGGUCCAUAUGGUUUUUGGUUCAUAUGGAUUUCAAUCCAUAUGGUUCUCGGAUUCAUAUGAUUUUCGGCCCAUAUGGUUCUCGGUUUCAUAUGAUUUUCGGUCCAUAUGGUUCUCGGUCACGGGAGAUGCACUUGACCGAAAACACCAAUUGUUCCAAAAAAAAAAAACGGAUAUGUUCAAGCCCCUAAUUCGAUAUCCAAACUAAUAACAUGUAAAGGAUGCAAGGACUUACAAAUUUGAAGGCUAAGAAUAGAGGUUUUUGGCCCAAAACACUUUCGUGUUCUUGAAGAUCUAGUACAAAAGAUGGAAAUUUGUGGAUGGAUGCAAAGAUGAUUCAAGAAGAAGAAGUGAUGUAGCAACAUAUAUAUGGAAGGAUCUACUUACAUUUAUGAAGAUUGGAAGAAAACUUGAAGAUCCUUAGGAGAGAUGUAACGAUCGUCUUUCGAGGUAUAAAUUUAUUUAGAUUCUCAAGUUUUAUUUUGGGCUAUAAUAGAAUUGUAUAUGGGAUUGGGCCUCUUUGUUUUGGGUCGAGACAUAGUCUGCCCAUAAGCCGUACGCGGGGCGUAAACCCGUUGUAUGCUGGGUGUAAUGAUUAAAUGAAACGCGAGGAGGAAAAGCGUACGCGCAGCGUACCAUAUGGUACGCCCGGCGUACGCGGUCAGAGGAAAAACCCUAAUUUUAGGGGUUUAAGGCUAUAUAAACCCCAUUAUAGCCUCCUUCCCUGUUUUCCCAUCAGCCUCCUCACUCUCAAGAAAACCCUAAGUCGUUCUUAUCCUCUCUUUGUGUGUGAAGAAGCUUUUGUGAGUGAUUUAAGGAAAGGAAGUGGUGAAGAAGGAAGGGAAGAAGUUGGAGAAGAAGCUUGAGUUCAGGGAUCUGGAUUUAGCACCCUCUUGGUCAGCAAAGGAAGGUAUAAAGUUCUGAACUUUCUUCCUCUUUCCUUCUAGAUCUAGGUUAUGAAAGUUUGGACAUUUUUAAGUCCAAAGGUUGAGUCUUGAUCUUGAAAGUCGGUUUUGGAGCUUGGAUUGCCAUCCUUAAGGCUCAGAAACAUCUUCCUAUCAAUAAAGUUACAAUCUUUGUGGCUUAUAUGGAACCAUGCAUGAGAUCUAGUUAGCUCUGUGGAAGUAGAAUGUUAUUUAUGGAAGUUUGAGCCUUUAUGAGACUUGUAAGCCAUCAAGUAAGCAACUUUAUGGCUUAAGACGUGGAACAAGCUUAGGAUCUGGAUUUGUAGCUUCUGGAUCAGAUUAUUAAGCAUUUAAUGAGAUUUUGGCUUAACAGGGAUGUACGGUGGGCGUACAAGCCAGUAGCCAGUACGCUCAGCGUACCUUGGUGUACGCCCCGCGUACGCUGCCAGUUUGGGCUUCGAGUGUUUUGGGACUCAAUGUGGGAUGAGUUUUAGACUUAGGGUCUUUGGGCCUUAGUGGCCAUCAGAAUUCAGUUGCUUUGGGACCAAGGACUAAUAUUGGGCUUGAGUAAGGCCCAAUAAAAGGUUUUGGGCCCAAUAUAGAAAAUUGGGCCAUUAGUGGGCCUAUAGUGGGGCCAUUGAUGGACUUAGAAGGAAUUGAGGGUUUGGGCCAUAUUGUGACCCAUGCCAUAGUAGGGGUAAAAGGGUCAUUUUACCCAUAGGAGAAUCCCUAUUCUGAUUUAGUGUUUUAUUUCCCAUGAUAGCCAGGAAGCAGCCGAAGCAGCAGUCAGGGAUUUCUCAUUCAGCAGUUCAGCAGUCAGCAUCACGAGGUGAGUUUCCUUCUAGUAGGAACGGGUCUACGGCCACAAUGACGGCCCGUUUAGUUAGCAGUAGUUCCGGAUUCGGUCUAAUGUAGUAGUUUAGGAUGCUUGGUGUCUUUGUGAUUCAAGCAUGUCUAUGUGUUAUGUGUUCCGGGAUUCGGUCCUAUGCAGUUAGUUCCGGACUCCGGUCCGAUGCAGUUAGUUCCGGACUUAGGUCCGAUGUAGUCAGUUUCGGCUUCUGUCACACCCCCGAACCAGACGGCGGAAACGUCCGGGGGCUGUCGUGACUCAAUUGAAUACCAUAACAUUGAAUAUAUAUGAAACAAAACAACAUUCGUCACCAUUCAUCAACAUAAUACAACCAGUAGUGUUUACAUGUCAUACAUUGUUUGAGAUAUUACAUUUCCAAAAAUUAAUAUUGUUUGGUUCAUUCAAAAAUAAACUGCAACCGUCACUGAGCAUGAUUUCCCUUGACUCACUGGUUUCCUGAGAAUACAAGUAUUUUGAAAAACGUCAACAUAUGAAAUGUUGGUGAGUUCAUAAGUAGUGUUUGAAAUCGAAUGUUUAUAUUGUUUGAAAAACACCAGAAAAUCCGAUAUUUUCUGAAAAGAAAAGCUUUCAAAAACGUUUGUGAAGAUCCAUAGGUAUGCUUGUUUGUUUCUAUACUUGCAAAAAUUGUUCAUUUAAGAUGUAUGCGUUUAAAAUCUGUAUGUGAUAAAAACCCUAGGGAAACCCGAUGUUCCCCUAGUUCUUUUGAAAUCCAUUGAGUUGCGUUGAAACCAUUACAAAAAUAGUAGUAUCGGUCCCAAGCGACGUUGGAAGGUUCUCGAGCAUUGAUUAUUUACUACAAACCCGCAUUACACAAAUGCCCGGUUUAUAGAUAUACCAACGAUUCCCGAAGGCGUCGUCAGUACUAAUCACGUUAUCCAAUCGCCCGGACUAUGAGUGGUCCCACAUCCGAAGAGAAAGAGGUCACGAAGACCCCGGUAACUCUAUUAACCGGCUGGGGAAAUAUGUGUGCGAGGGGUCCCCGACCCGCCUCGUAAAAUGUGUAGACUUUUCUAGCAAUACCAUGGCCCUUGGGGUCCAAUGAUACAAGCCAUUGAAAGUCACCCUACGUUGUGCCAAGUCGGUAAAACUCAACACUUCGUAGAAAAAAAAAUGUCUUCGGGCCUUAAGAUCAGGUCAUUGGGCUAGCUAGGCCCAACAAACAAGAUUUUACACUUUUGGGGCCCGAAGAUGGUGCGUAGACGUCUGUGCACACUCGUAUGUAUGUGUAUUACCAAUCGUUAUUUGUAUGUAUCAAAGAGUUAGUAGUUGUAGAUUUCCAUUGGCUCGAGACCGAGCCAAUUCGUUUAGCAACGACUUUUGGUAUUGUAAUGAGUUGUAUUUCGUUGGUAGUCGAGGUAUCGUUAUUUGAUCAAAUUGUACAUAAUGUAUCAGCCUUGAAAUAUUUUUGUUUUCAGCCCCUCAUUAUUUGUAAAAUUUACAUUUUCAACCCUUUUAUUUAAGUAUUUCCCGGUUUGGUCCUUAAACUAUUUUUCUUGACAUUUUAACACCAAAAAUUAUUGAAAUUAAUAUUUUCCAGCAUAUUUUUCAAAGAAAACAGUUUAAGUCCCUGAAAAUGCAGUUUUUCUCGGUUUUAGCCCAUCUUUUCGCAAUUUUGACAAUUUUGGCCCAAAAUGGAAAAUUUUUGCAACUUUGGUCCUUUUUAAAUUUAAAAAGCAUUUUAAACCUUUGAAAAGGGUUUGGGACACUUAUAGUCCACUGUUUUACAGAAAGUUACAGUUUUGGCCCUCCAAAACAGAAAAAUUCGCAUAAUGGGCCUUAUUGGGCCGAAAUUUGCAUUUUUAGCCCAAUAGGCUUGAAAUUUAUGUUUUUAAUCCACCAAUUGAAUAGAAUUCCAGAAAUAGCUUUAUUGAAACUGUUUUGACACAUUUCAACCAUCAGAAUCUGUAAAAUGUCAUUUUGGGCCCUUAAUUUUGUAUUUUUCACAUUUUUGGCCCAAAAUGUGUGUUUUUAGCUUAAAGAAAAUUGUUGCUAACCACUUGGCUAUUUAUCUAGUAUCACUUAUUAUGUAGGAACAUAUUUGAAGCUAAUAUCAUAAAACAUGAGUUAUAUCUCGGUUUUGAGGGGUUUAAUGGCUAGAUCCAACAUUAAAACACAUAUAAGCAUACAUAUAAGCAUGGAAAUCAUACAAGGCAUACAAAUACAUAUAGAUCUACACUUUCACUUGUAUUCCCCCCCACAAAAACUCUUAAAAACAGAAAAUAGGGGUAUGAAUCUCACCUUGAGUGGGUAGUUUCGGUUCUUGAAGAAAAAUUGGAAGAAAUGAAGUGAUUUUUGGCCCUUGCACUCCUUGAUGAACUUUUCGAGAUUAUGGGGUUUCUAGAGUGCAAGAUCACGGUUUUUACAUGGAUUAGGAAGAGAUUUUGAUAACAAAAGAAUUUAAACCAUAGAUCUAUGAAUAAUCUUACCUUAGAUGAUGAUUUACUUGCAAAAUCCUCUUGGAAAGUCCCUAAAUUUCGAGAUCUUUGGAGAGGGGAGGGAAGGAGAGUUCUUUGAGUGUUCUAGAGAGAAAGUUGAGAUAUUUUGGUGUGUGUGAUGAUGCUUGGCCGAGAGUGAGAGAGGAGAGAAGAAGAAAUGACUUUUGAAGUGAUUUGCAUGGAGAUAUGGACUAAGAUGCAUGGAGACAUGUUGGGUAAUAAUGAGGUGGCAAGCAAAUAGUCAACCCUUCUUCUUGGGCUUUUCUUUUGGGCCGAAAAUGGGAAGGAAAAAAAAAGUUUUUGGGCUUUUUGCUCCUAAGCCCAACAUUAGUGUUAAUUAGGGUAUUUAUUGGACUUAUAAAAUAAAAUUGUGAUUUUUGUGCUUUAUUAAGCUAGGUUAGGUUUAAUUAUGGAUCAAAACUUGUGUUUUAUUUCCUUCUAGGUUCUACCUAGCCCAAAAUAUUGAAAUAAACGAAUGUGGGUCCAAUUAGAGCCCAAUUAGGGUCCUAAACCCAUGAUAGUCCAAUUGGAAGCUUAUUGGUCCAUUUGGAUCCAAUAAGGAAGUCUUAGUCCAAAAUGGACUUAACCAAAACUUCUAGGGUCUCCAAUUGUUUGAUGACUAUCUAUAGUACUUGUAUCUUGUAUUUGGUUAAAGUUUUUGAUUCACAUUAACUUGAAUGUAUAGAUUACAUAGCUUAAAAUUCACAGUUGUGACAUCAUCCCCCCGUUAGAGGGAAUUUCGUCCCGAAAUUCUGUUUGAAAGCUAGAUUUGAGAAAACUAGAAUAGGUGAGGGUACUUCUGCUUCAUUUGGUCUUCGCGUUCCCACGUGAAUUCUGGCCCACGCUUUGCGUUCCACCGUACCUUCACGAUCGGGAUGCGACUCUGCUUAGUACGCUUCACCUCCCUGUCCAUGAUUUCGAUUGGUUCUUCGACGAACAGGAGAUUCUCAUUGAUUUCGAUUUCGUCAAGAGGAAUGACAAGGGUUUCAUCUGAUAGGCACUUUUUCAGAUUAGAAACAUGAAACACGGGGUGCACACCGUUUAGCUCCGGGGGUAGUUGUAGUCUGUAGGCUACCGGACCUAUUCGGGCGACGAUUUCGAAAGGUCCAAUGUACCGUGGGUUUAGCUUUCCUCGUUUUCCGAAACGUAUAACUCCUUUCCAGGGUGAGACCUUCAACAAUACUCGAUCACCGACCUGGAAUUCUAAGGGCUUUCGCCGUUUAUCAGCGUAGCUCUUUUGCCGGUCACGCGAUGCCUGUAAUCGAGCUUUGAUCUGGACAAUCUUUUCUGUGGUCUCGCGAAUGAUUUCCGGUCCUGUCAUUGCCCUAUCCGACGUAUGUGUUCUUGCUAGCUGGGUGUCACCUACUUCAGCCCAACAUAACGGUGAUCUACAUUUACGCCCGUACAGUGCUUCGAAAGGGGCCACCUUAAUGCUCGAAUGAUAACUAUUGUUAUAUGAAAACUCGAUCAACGGUAGGUGGGUAUCCCAAGACUUUCCGAAGUCUAUCACACAUGCACGAAGCAUGUCUUCAAGCGUCUGAAUGGUUCGUUCGCUUUGACCGUCCGUUUGUGGGUGAUACGCGGUGCUCAUAUCAAGAUGAGUUCCCAUGGCCUUGUGGAGCGACUGCCAAAAGCGUGACGUGAACCUACUGUCCCUAUCCGAGAUGAUAGAUUUUGGCACUCCAUGAAGUCUUACAAUCUCUCGUAGGUACAAACGCGUCAGCCUCUCCAUCUUGUAGGACUCUUUGAUUGGCAGGAAAUGGGCAGAUUUCGUCAGUCGGUCGAUUAUUACCCAUAUGGUGUCCAAUCCGUCCGACGUCUUGGGCAGCUUGGUCACGAAGUCCAUAGAAAUCCCCUCCCAUUUCCACUCAGGGAUUGCCGGUUGCUGUAACAAUCCGGAAGGUUUCUGGUAUUCCACUUUUACUUUGGCACACGUAAGGCACUUACUAACAUAAGUUGCGAUUUCCGCCUUCAUGUUAGGCCACCAAUAGUGCUGCUUAAUGUCCAAAUACAUCUUGUCCGAACCAGGAUGAAUGGAGUAUCGUGUCUUGUGGGCUUCCUUCAUAACGGUCUCCCUGAAUCCUCCGAUUUUUGGAACCCAAAUACGGUUCAUGAAGUAGUAUACCCCAUUCUCUUUGACUUCCAGGUUCUUCUCCAUUCCGCGUAAUGCCUCGCUAGUUCUAUUUUCCGCUUUCAUAGCCUCUGCCUGGACUGAUGCAAUUUGAGUGGUCAGAUGAGACUGAAUGGUUAUCGAGUGCGUUUUCGUACGGCGAUUUGUGUAUUCCUUCCGACUUAAUGCGUCAGCUACCACGUUGGCCUUGCCUGGAUGGUACUUGAUCUCGCAUUCGUAGUCGUUUAACAAUUCCACCCAUCUUCGUUGUCUCAUGUUCAGCUCCUUCUGAUUCAAGAUGUGCUGGAGGCUCUUGUGGUCCGUAAAGAUGGUGCACUUUGUACCGUACAGGUAGUGCCUCCAAAUUUUUAGAGCGAAGACCACAGCUCCCAGUUCUAGGUCAUGGGUUGUGUAAUUUACUUCGUGCGCCUUUAGUUGACGGGACGCAUAUGCUAUCACUCUUCCACGUUGCAUGAGAACGCAACCUAAGCCUUGAUUUGACGCGUCACAGUAAACUACAAAAUCUUCCGUUCCUUCAGGUAGAGAUAGUACAGGAGCGCUGCAAAGAGCUUGCUUCAAGGUUCGAAACGCAAUCUCUUGUCGGUCUGUCCACUUGAAUGGCACACUCUUUUGCGUAAGCAAGGUAAGUGGCUUGGCGAUUUUUGAGAAGUUUUGGAUGAAUCUCCUAUAGUAGCCUGCUAGGCCUAAGAACUGACGAAUUUCUGUGGGCGUAGUCGGAGUUGCCCAUCCUUCCACAGCUUUGACCUUAGAGGGAUCCACAUGAAUUCCAUCUUGGCUAACUACGUGACCUAGAAAAUUCACGCUCCGUAGCCAAAACUCACACUUAGAGAGUUUGGCGUAAAGCCUUUCCGAUCGCAGCGUUUCUAGGACUUGUCGGAGAUGUUGGCCAUGCUCCUCUUUGCUUCGAGAAUAGACGAGGAUGUCAUCGAUAAACACAAUGACGAAGUUGUCCAAGAACGGUCGACAGAUUCGGUUCAUUAGGUCCAUAAAUGCGGCAGGUGCAUUUGUUAGACCGAAGGGCAUUACGACGAAUUCAUAAUGUCCAUAGCGGGUUCGGAAAGCGGUUUUAGGAAUAUCUUCUUCUCGGACCUUGAGUUGAUGGUAUCCGGACCGUAGAUCUAUUUUAGAAAAAUAGCUAGCUCCUUGGAGCUGGUCGAAUAGAUCAUCGAUUCGCGGGAGUGGGUAGCGGUUUUUAACAGUGAGUUUAUUCAACUCUCUGUAAUCGAUGCACAUUCUGAAAGAUCCGUCCUUCUUUUUGACAAAGAGCACCGGAGCUCCCCAUGGCGAGUAGCUAGGUCGGAUAAAUCCCUUGUCCAGAAGCUCACUGAGUUGGCUGGACAAUUCCUGCAUUUCAGCAGGUGCCAACCGAUAUGGUGAUUUAGCGAGAGGAGUUGCUCCUGGAACGAGGUCGAUUCGGAACUCAACCUGUCUCUCUGGGGGUACUCCUGGAAGAUCUUCGGGAAACACGUCCGGAAAUUCACACGCUACCGGAAUGUCUUGGAUGUUAGUUUCUUCUUUGGUCUUGUCCACUAUGUGGGCCAAGAACGCUAAGUUGUUCUUUCGCAGAUGUUUUUGUGCUUUGAUGCACGAGAUAAGACGAAGAUUCGUGCUAGGUUUGUCUCCGUAAAUUACUAGGGUUUCGUGAUUCGGGAGACGAAGGCGAACGGCCUUCUCGUGGCACAUAAUCUCAGCAUGGUGGGGGCUUAACCAAUCCAUGCCGAUAAUCACAUCGAAACUCCUAAUUGAUACUGGCAUUAGGUCUAUUCGAAAGACGUGCUGGUUAAGGGUUAGGGUACAUCCGAUGUAGAUCUCCCUAGUGGAUUCGGUUUUCCCAUUGGCCAUUUCCACCGUAUAGGUUUCAUUUAGCUUCUGGGGUUGUUGUUUUAGUAAAUGUUUAAACUUCUCGCUUACGAAACUUCGCUCCGCUCCGGUAUCAAAUAAGAUGCAUGCAUAAGUGUGGUUUAGGAGAAACGUACCGGUCACAACUGCGGGAUCUUGAACUGCAUCACUCUGACCCAUAGUCAGCAUUCUUCCUGUUCCUCUGUUUCCGGAGUUGUUGUUGUUGUUAGGGCAAUCUCGACGGAAAUGUCCCGUCCUUCCACACCCGAAACAGGUGUGGCUAGGCCCUGCGUUGUUGCCGCCGGCAUUGGUGUUGUUGAUGUUGCGGUGAUUGUUGUUGUUGUUCUGGUUGUUUCCCUGACUCUGGUUCUGAGAAGGAUAAGUCCUGCAGAACUUUGCAGUGUGUCCCCUUCGGUUGCAACUGGUGCAAUGGAACUCCCUACAUUCUCCUUGGUGAUGGAAACCGCACUUGUUGCAUUUGGGAUGAGUGCCGGAAUAGGGUCUUGAAGUAUUUGAAGUAGCUGAGGCUGGAGCAUGUGAUGUGACUGGUACCGGCGCAGUGACAGCGUGAACUGCCACCGUUUGCUGCUUUUUAGAGGUCUCGGGACCUUGACGCCCCUUCCUCUUGUUGUUCCAUCCCUUCUUACCAUCGCUCUCCUUCUUCUUCUCAGUCUCUACCGGUUUCUCGCCCUUUUUGUGGUUAUGAUCAUAGAGCCUCUUUGCCAAUCUCUUCGCGCUGUCAAACGUUUCAGGGUUAGCAGCUAUCACAUUCCCUUGAAUGGGGGAUGUCAAUCCCCAAAUGAAUCGUUCAAUCUUCUUCCCCUCUGAUGUGAUCAUACCCGGGCACAACAGAGAUAGUUCGCUGAAUCUCGAUAUGUAAGCAUCGAUGUUCCCAUUCUGCACCGUGAGAUUCCAUAGUUCCUGCUCCAUCUUCUGUAUUUCGCCUCGGGGGCAGUACUCAGCCGUCAACAUCUCUUUCAUCUCUGCCCAGGGAAUAGAGUUGGCGACAGGGAGUGUCAUAGCUUCCACAUGACCAUUCCACCAAGUGAGUGCUUGGUCCACAAAAGUGCAGGCCGCGAACUUCACUUUCAUCUGCUCGGGGCACUCGCAUAUCUCGAAUACCGACUCUACCUUCUCGAUCCAUCGCUUUAGGGCGAUCACUCCUCCGGUACCGUUGAAAGUUCGGGGUUUAGCGUUCGCAAAAUCCUUGUAGGUGCACGUUUUAGUGAGUCCUUGGUUCGUCCCGUUGUUCGAACUUCCGGAUCCUUGCCCGUUACCUCCUCCGUUGUUCCCUCGGUGAAGUUGUGCCAUAGCCGCUGUGACCGCAGCAGACACGGCUGCCUGGAAAGCAGUGGAGUCAACUUCCGGCGGGGUUGGUUCGGGAUUUCCGCGAGUAGCUGGGCGAGGCAUCUUUCUGUCAUGAAACGGAAAGAUGUUGAGUGUACGUGGUUUCGGUGAGGUUAUGAUCCUACUAACUAGGUGUAUGGUACGAACCUAAGCAUUACUAUCAUCAAGCAUACAAUCAUAACGCCUCAACAUAUAACAACUGAGAAUAUCAUAGCAAAACACACAAAAGUUUAUUAAUAUUAUCCGCAUUUAGUACAAGAAAAUUUGCUCGUAGGAGCAUACAUAAGUAACACUAAUCCGACAGCAUAACGGCUCCAUGAGUAGUGUAGUCACUUAAACAUAGAGCCGGAGUACAUAACAUAGUUACUAAUAUCCUACUACGAUAGGUCUAUCCCUAACCGCGAUGAGCUGCGUCAGGAGGUGGUGCCGAAGUCAUAUGCCGAAAUGUUGCGCCAGUAGCUGCGCCAUCUCUGCCAUGUCUCCUAUAACUUCAUCCCUCUCGUGCUCUGCUCUCACUGCCCGAGCUUCCAUAGCAUACAGCUGUUGUCGCAGUGCGGCGAUCUCAGCUUCGAGGGAACGGUUCUCCCUUGGGGGGUUCACUGGUGGAGCGGGGUGAUCUGGUUGUGCCUCGUCCUCGCAUGGUGGGAUGGGGUCCUGGCCCCCGACCUGACCCUCCUCGUCGUCAUCGUCGACCUCUCCAAAUUCGUAGUCGGUGUCUAUAUAUUCGUCGGGUUCGACGUCGUGUGCUUCUCCUGGAUGCUCUCCCGGCUCAUCCACCAGCAUCCCGUGAGCUACUAAGGCCUGAUGAAACUGGAUACCCGGCUGCUCCUCCUCAGGCUCCUCCUCCUCCUCUAGCCACCCGUUGUUUCCCUGAUUAGGGAAGUAGGGGUCUCCAGGGUGAUGAAAACCAGCCAUGCUGUCUGCGCGAGUACGUAAUUAUGCUACAUUAUUCCUAGGGUACUAUGACUAUUACACAGACUAAGCAAAUAUUCUCUUUUUGGGUGAUAUAGGGUAAAAUUUUUAGGUUCCCUGGCUAUUCCGAUCUCAUCAAGACAUGUGUUAGUUUUACCUUGGAGAGAAUGUAGUUGAUCAGGCUACAUUCACUCCUUGGUAUCACUAAGAACAGUCCCGAAUUAACCGAGAUACCAGUAUUAUGGUGUUUGAUUCAGCGUUAGGUCCUUACUCCUAAUGCAAGCAAGUGUAUUUUAUUCAUUUGUUUUGUUCAGAGUUAUGUUAGUCCCUCUUUUUGGUUUAUAGUUGCAUAUCAAUGUAUGGCUCGACAUGCUAGUUCACUAUAAACAAAGCUCUGAUACCAACCUGUCACACCCCCGAACCAGACGGCGGAAACGUCCGGGGGCUGUCGUGACUCAAUUGAAUACCAUAACAUUGAAUAUAUAUGAAACAAAACAACAUUCGUCACCAUUCAUCAACAUAGUACAACCAGUAGUGUUUACAUGUCAUACAUUGUUUAAGACAUUACAUUUCCAAAAAUUAAUGUUGUUUGGUUCAUUCAAAAAUAAACUGCAACCGUCACUGAGUAUGAUUUCCCUUGAUUCACUGGUUCCCUGAGAAUACAAGUAUUUUGAAAAACGUCAACAUAUGAAAUGUUGGUGAGUUCAUAAGUAGUGUUUGAAAUCGAAUGUUUAUAUUGUUUGAAAAACCACCAGAAAAUCCGAUAUUUUCUGAAAAGAAAAGCUUUCAAAAACGUUUGUGAAGAUCCAUAGGUAUGCUUGUUUGUUUCUAUACUUGCAAAAAUUGUUCAUUUAAGAUGUAUGCGUUUAAAAUCUGUAUGUGAUAAAAACCCUAGGGAAACCCGAUGUUCCCCUAGUUCUUUUGAAAUCCAUUGAGUUGCGUUGAAACCAUUACAAAAAUAGUAGUAUCGGUCCCAAGCGACGUUGGAAGGUUCUCGAGCAUUGAUUAUUUACUACAAACCCGCAUUACACAAAUGCCCGGUUUAUAGAUAUACCAACGAUUCCCGAAGGCGUCGUCAGUACUAAUCACGUUAUCCAAUCGCCCGGACUAUGAGUGGUCCCACAUCCGAAGAGAAAGAGGUCACGAAGACCCCGGUAACUCUAUUAACCGGCUGGGGAAAAAUGUGUGCGAGGGGUCCCCGACCCGCCUCGUAAAAUGUGUAGACUUUUCUAGCAAUACCAUGGCCCUUGGGGUCCAAUGAUACAAGCCAUUGAAAGUCACCCUACGUUGUGCCAAGUCGGUAAAACUCAACACUUCGUAGAAAAAAAAUGUCUUCGGGCCUUAAGAUCAGGUCAUUGGGCUAGCUAGGCCCAACAAACAAGAUUUUACACUUUUGGGGCCCGAAGAUGGUGCGUAGACGUCUGUGCACACUCGUAUGUAUGUGUAUUACCAAUCGUUAUUUGUAUGUAUCAAAGAGUUAGUAGUUGUAGAUUUCCAUUGGCUCGAGACCGAGCCAAUUCGUUUAGCAACGACUUUUGGUAUUGUAAUGAGUUGUAUUUCGUUGGUAGUUGAGGUAUCAUUAUUUGAUCACAUUGUACAUAAUGAAUCAGCCUUGAAAUAUUUCUGUUUUCAGCCCCUCAUUAUUUGUAAAAUUUACAUUUUCAACCCUUUUAUUUAAAUAUUUCCCGGUUUGGUCCUUAAACUAUUUUUCUUGACAUUUUAACACCAAAAAUUAUUGAAAUUAAUAUUUUCCAGCAUAUUUUUCAAAGAAAACAGUUUAAGUCCCUGAAAAUGCAGUUUUUCUCGGUUUUAGCCCAUCUUUUCGCAAUUUUGACAAUUUUGGCCCAAAAUGGAAAAUUUUUGCAACUUUGGUCCUUUUUAAAUUUAAAAAGCAUUUUAAACCUUUGAAAAGGGUUUGGGACACUUAUAGUCCACUGUUUUACAGAAAUUCACAGUUUUGGCCCUUCAAAACAGAAAAAUUCGCAUAAUGGGCCUUAUUGGGCCGAAAUUUACAUUUUUAGCCCAAUAGGCUUGAAAUUUAUGUUUUUAAUCCACCAAUUGAAUAGAAUUCCAGAAAUAGCUUUAUUGAAACUGUUUUGACACAUUUCAACCAUCAGAAUCUGUAAAAUGUCAUUUUGGGCCCUUAAUUUUGUAUUUUUCACAUUUUUGGCCCAAAAUGUGUGUUUUUAGCUUAAAGAAAAUUGUUGCUAACCACUUGGCUAUUUAUCUAGUAUCACUUAUUAUGUAGGAACAUAUUUGAAGCUAAUAUCAUAAAACAUGAGUUAUAUCUCGGUUUUGAGGGGUUUAAUGGCUAGAUCCAACAUUAAAACACAUAUAAGCAUACAUAUAAGCAUGGAAAUCAUACAAGGCAUACAAAUACAUAUAGAUCUACACUUUCACUUGUAUUCCCCCCCACAAAAACUCUUAAAAACAGAAAAUAGGGGUAUGAAUCUCACCUUGAGUGGGUAGUUUCGGUUCUUGAAGAAAAAUUGGAAGAAAUGAAGUGAUUUUUGGCCCUUGCACUCCUUGAUGAACUUUUCGAGAUUAUGGGGUUUCUAGAGUGCAAGAUCACGGUUUUUACAUGGAUUAGGAAGAGAUUUUGAUAACAAAAGAAUUUAAACCAUAGAUCUAUGCAUAAUCUUACCUUAGAUGAUGAUUUACUUGCAAAAUCCUCUUGGAAAGUCCCUAAAUUUCGAGAUUUUUGGAGAGGGGAGGGAAGGAGAGUUCUUUGAGUGUUCUAGAGAAAAAGUUGAGAUAUUUUGGUGUGUGUGAUGAUGCUUGGCCGAGAGCAAGAAGGGAGGAGAGAAAGAAGUGACUCUUGAAGUGAUACAUGCAUGGAGGUAUGUGAUUUGUGCCUAGAAAUCCAUUAGGUAAUAGUGAGGUGGCAACCAAAGUCAACCUCCCUUGGAUUUGGGCCUUGGGCCGAGAAUAUGAAGGGGAAAGAGGAAAAAUUUGGGCUUUUGCCCCUAAGCCCAACAUUAGAGGUAGUUUAGGGUAUUUAUUGGACUUAUAAAAUAAAAUUGUGAUUUUUGUGCUUUAUUAAGCUAGGUUAGGUUUAAUUAUGGAUCAAAACUUGUGUUUUAUUUCCUUCUAGGUUCUACCUAGCCCAAAAUAUUGAAAUAAACGAAUGUGGGUCCAAUUAGAGCCCAAUUAGGGUUCUAAGCCCAUGAUAGUCUAAUUGGAAGCUUAUUGGUUCAUUUGGAUCCAAUAAGGAAGUCUUAGUCCAAAGUGGACUUAACCAAAACUUCUAGGGUCUCCAAUUGUUUGAUGACUAUCUAUAGUACUUGUAUCUUGUAUUUGAUUAAAGUUUCUGAUUCACAUUAACUUGAAUGUAUAGAUUACAUAGCUUAAAAUUUACAGUUGUGACAGCUUCAGUCCGAUGCAGUUUCCGGACUUUGGUCCGAUGGAGAGGGCAAGGCCCUGGUUAGUUCCGGACUUCAGUCCAAUGCCGUUUCCGGACUUCGGUCCGAUGCAGUGGGCAAGGCCCAAGAUGUGUUUAUAUGUUAUUGUAUGGUAUGUGAUAGUUUGGGGGAACUCACUAAGCUUCGUGCUUACAGUUUUCAGUUUUGGUUUCAGGUACUUCCGCAUUGCACACACUACAACUUCAGUUUUAUUCCUGGGAGUUUUUCUUAGUUAUGAUGUGAUACAGUUCCGAUACAGUUUGUGAUACGACAUUUUAUUAUGGUUUGAAAUAUUUAACGUAUGGGUUUUAUAUUAUGACAUUCAGUAUAUGAUUUUAGUAUUAUUAAACAAAAAUUUUUGGGACGUAUUUUUGGGUCGUUACAAGUUGGUAUCAGAGCCUUGGUUUGAGGGAUUCGGAUACACUUUCGGGUGUGUCUUGAUGGGUUUUGGCCAUAUGAACAUUCCUAUGUGCACAUGCAAACCCUAAUGCUUGGAUCUAGGUUUCUCUAAUUAAACAUGCUUUCUAUCCAAGACUUCUAAUGACUAAUUAGGUAUAAGAACAAUACAAAAUCAGAUCUAGAAGCUUACCUUUGAAUCUCUUGUUUGAUCUUGUUGUCUUGGAGCUCUAGAGUCACAAUUGUCACUCCUCUAAUGGCUUACAAACACCAACUAGCAAGGAGGAUGAUUUGAGAGAGAGGUUGGAGGAAGAAAUCGGCCAGAGUAUCUUUACUAUGUUGGAGGUGCCGAUUUCCCUUACCCAAGGGGUCUAUUUAUACUUGUAAGGCUCUUAGGGUUUCACCCUUAAACCCUAAUUGGAUAACUUAAACUUUAAGUAAUCCUAAUCCCUAUCUAAGAUAGCCUUGGACGAUUUUAGGCUUAUCCUAGCCCUAGAAAUCGUCCAUACCCUAUCCCAUAAGGAUUUACAGCCCAAAGUGUAACUAUCAGACAAUUGACAGUUUAUACCCUCUUAUUUAAUUAAUCUCUUUAAGUCACCAAAUUAAUACUAAUCAAUCUAUGACUUAUAUUAAUUAAAUAACUAUAUUAUUAUUCCUUAUAUUAUUCUCAUAAUAUAUUAAUAAUAUCUAUUCUCUCAUAAUAAAUCAUCCUGUCAAGUUGCUAUGGUGAAGGCAACCCAAAAGGACCAUGCACAAUCGGGUCAAAUACUUGCAUAAUAUAGUUGCAGCCUUAGACACUAUUCCAACAUGUCUGAACUCAAACUAAGGAAAUGGUAAAAGAUUUUUAAAAGAAAAACAUUUUUGAAAAAGAACUUAGAAAUAAAAGAGUUUUGAUAAGAGAAAAGGGUGUGGUGCAUGUGAUCAGCCGAGCUCAAGUAAGUACUCCCAAAUUACCCAUACAAGUUUAUAUUAUGAUUAUCUGCUUCAGUUUCAGUAGAACAACAUGCUAGUAUAGGACUAAGGAUCUAUGAGGAUGUCUUAUGUGCCUACUUUAUGUGUUUCAGCUUUAUGAGAAUUGCAUGCUAGUAUUUGAGUAGACAGCAGUAGGAUAGCCUGAUUAGGUUAUGCCUGGUAAUAUGAGCUUAGCAUUGUAUGCUAGUACAAUUUCUCAUUAUGAGGAUAGAAUUGUUUGAGUAGUUUCCUGUGUCCGAAUGCUACUUGCUUUGUGCUUUGUGGGACUCUGAGUAAUGGGAGUUAGCCAUUAGGUGAAUACGUCACAUCACAUGUGAUCAGGGUUGAAUAAUCUCAGAGUGUUGGAUUUGGCCCUACUGCACAGCUCUCGUUUGAGUCUAACCGUUAUAGGGAUGACUCUUUUACUCGAAGGAUUAUCCGAGCCUCAUCACAUGUGAUGGUAUUCAGGUGAUGACUAAUUGGCAUUACAAGGAGGCCUGCAGCGACUGAUGACUGGUUUUGGUUGAGUCAGAGAUUUCCCUAGUGCAAGCCUAGGAUGAGAGUAGCAGAGAUUAGUAGCAAUGUUAGUGGCUUGGUGGAAUCAAGGCGGUCCUUGAGGAAGGUACAGGUAGAUGUGGAAGGUAGUAGGGCCCCAUACUACUGGAAGCAGAGGAUCUGUACUUGAAUCGAGGAAGGCUGAGAUGAGACCGGAAAGCCUGUAGUAGUAGUGAUCCCUCGAGAUAAAUCAGUAUUUCUAACGUUUAUCAUGAUGUGUUUUUAGAAUGGUGGUUUUACGCCUUAGACCAGCAGGCGGCAGUUCAGGUGCCGGGGAGGGAUCAACAUCAAGCUCGGGGGCCGAGCAGUUGGAUGAGCAGACUAGAGAGUUCUUCACUUCAGAAGUUACUUGUAUCAUUCUCGAGCAGACUCCAGUGAUCUUCUGUUCGAUCAAGGAGGGUAUACUAGAGUUGAUGGAGGAGAAACUAAGCACAUUCGUGCUGAGGUGGCGGCCAUGAUGGGGUCGCGCACACAUACGUUCAAGGAGUUACGGGCAUGUGGGGCUCCAGACUAUCACAGGGCAUGUAUAAUAAUUUAACCGUUCAUGUUAGAAAAAAUUAUUUAAAACAUGAAGAAGAAGAUGAUGCAUGUAAUCAAUGCAGGUACGGAAAUAUAAGCAUAUUGAUUGCAAACUCAUUUCCUAAUAAUAAAUAAAUUUAGAAGUACAAUUAUGUUUUCAUUUUCUCACAUUGAGGGGGUAAUGGGUUAUAUAGUCCAAUGAUAUUUGUUUUCUCUUCAUAAAUCAUGGCACUAUAAUAAUUUUGAAUGGGGCCAUAUACAGAAAACCAUUAUAUUUUAGUCAUUUUUUUCUGUUCAACAUAUUUUCAUUUACUUUCUUAUUAUAGCAUCAUACUUUCAUUUCUUCCAGUUAUAGCAUCAUACUUUGAAAAAUAUACCCAAUUACACAUGGCUACAAUGGCUUGAUAAGAAAAGUUGAAAGUAGAAUGCUAUAAAUGGGUGGAUUUUGAAAGUACCUAUAUGCUGGUCUUGGGUCAUUUAUUAAAGGCUAAAAUGCUAGAAAUAGCAAUUUACUUUCAUCGAUUUGCUUAUCAGAGCAUCAUACUUUCUCUUUUUCCUANUGAUUAAUUGCUAAUCAAAGUCUGUUCAUUUUCAAGUUUUAAUUUGAAUAAAUGCUAAUUAGUUGUGUUAAUUAGCACCUUGGCAGUUUUGUUUUUUCUUGUUUCUAUUUCCUUUUUUUCCCAGCUGUUCAUGAUUGAUUUAGUAUACCUUUUCUUUCAUCCACCAUCUACUUGUUCUCUCUUGCCAACAAUAUAAAGCAUAGCAUACAACUGAUUUCUUGUUUUUAGUUAUUUGGUUAUAUAUAACAAGGGUAUUUUGGUCAUUUGACAAACCUUCUUCCUUAAUGGAGUGUCAAACACCAUGAUCUGAUUUCUCUUAAUUCAUUUUUUCACCAUAAAAUCCAACAUUAACUUUGAAUCUUUCACAUGUAGGCCCAGAUUUUUUGGCCUAGGUAGUCUUCUAUCCUUAUGCUGAUUCUGUGUCUUUCAGAAGUAUGCUUCUUAUGAUCCUUCCACUCGCUUCAUGUCGUUGAUUCUGUCUGUCACCACCAGAACCUCAUAAAAGUUUCUGCUGACGUGUCACACUAGUGUUGACCUGGAAUUUGUGAAAAGUCCAAUGCCAUAUAUUUUCUCUUCAUAAAUCAUGGCACUCUACUUCUGCUUGCCUUAUGAAAUCCACCCAAGUUUGGAGAAAUAUUCUAUGCUGACCACUUUGACCUACUAUAGCAGGUUAAAGUGGUCACAAUAGAAAAUUUUGUCAAAGUUGAGUGACUUUAGUGAAAUUAAGAGGACUAAACUUUGACAACCUUUUCAAUUAUGACCCACUUUAACCUGCUAUAGUAGGUCAAAUUUGUCGAUAUAGAAAGAAAUUUCAAACUUGGGUAGGUUUGAUGAGCUAAAACUGAAAUGGAAUUGUUAAACUGCAAAAAAAUGGCCGAGAUAUUGUGAUUUUUCUAUAUAUUGCCCUUUUGUAGUUCAACUUACAUUGUCGACGUUACUGAACUACCUUAGUUUUGGGAAGCACUUGUGCAUGUACAUAGCAAAUAGCUAAGCUUUGUUAAUUUAAAUAGAUCCAUUGAUUUUUCAUCUGUUGUUGUAGUGUUCUCAAGUAGGCGUUGCUUCUUGGUUCUUAUGCCAAUACUCCAAAAUGAUUUAUAUAAUUGAGUGUCCUGCCCUAUCAAGAGUGUUUCCAUCCAAUGUAGUGGGACAACUGAAUAAGCUUGAAGAGUUGAUAAUAGAAGAAUGUAAGUCAAUGGUGGAGAUAUUUGAAAGUAAAGAAAUAAACAAAGAUGGUGUUGAUAGUACUACGAAUGUUGGUGAUGGAAGUGAUGAUACUUGUACUGCAAUCACCCUCCCAAGGUCGACCAAUAUGACUCUGCUUCAAUUGCCCAACCUAACAAUAUUGUAUAUAUAUAAAUGUGAAGUAUUGGAAUAUAUAUUCACAAGUUCCACACUUGAAAGCCUCAAGCAACUCAAAGAACUGACUGUAAAACAAUGCAAGGCAAUGAAAGUGAUUGUGAAGGAAGACGGAGAUUUACCAGAACUCAAGGGUUUCUUCCCUCGUCUCAUGUCCCUUUUGCUGGCUGAUUUACCAGAUCUCAAGGGUUUCUUCUUGGGG
This 24581-nucleotide long non-coding RNA is filed under the name Lactuca sativa (garden lettuce). RNAcentral describes it as "long non-coding RNA (LSAT_LNC000992)". The record is from RNAcentral. Lineage: Eukaryota; Viridiplantae; Streptophyta; Magnoliopsida; Asterales; Asteraceae.